This 488-nucleotide ribosomal RNA is filed under the name uncultured bacterium. RNAcentral describes it as "SSU rRNA". It matches the Rfam family "Bacterial small subunit ribosomal RNA", at positions 26 to 524 of the family's 1533-position model. The record is from RNAcentral.
AGGACGAACGCUGGCGGCGUGCCUAACACAUGCAAGUCGAACGCGCUCCAUUCGGUAGCAAUACUGAUGAAGAGCGAGUGGCGAACGGGUGAGUAGCACGUGAGCAACCUGCCCCGAAGACUGGGACAACACCGGGAAACCGGUGCUAAUACCGGAUAUCCCUAUCGGACCGCAUGAUUCGAUAAGGAAAUGGAUUCCGCUUCGGGAGGGGCUCGCGGCCUAUCAGCUAGUUGGUGGGGUAAUGGCCUACCAAGGCAUCGACGGGUAGCUGGUCUGAGAGGACGAUCAGCCACACUGGGACUGAGACACGGCCCAGACUCCUACGGGAGGCAGCAGUGGGGAAUCUUGCGCAAUGGGCGAAAGCCUGACGCAGCAACGCCGCGUGGAGGACGAAGGCUUUCUGAGUUGUAAACUCCUUUCAGCAGGGACGAUAGUGACGGUACCUGCAGAAGAAGCACCGGCCAACUCGUGCCAGCAGCCGCGGUAAC